UACGUAGGGUGCAAGCGUUGUCCGGAAUUAUUGGGCGUAAAGAGCUCGUAGGCGGUCUGUCGCGUCGGCUGUGAAAUCCCGAGGCUCAACCUCGGGUCUGCAGUCGAUACGGGCAAACUAGAGUAUUGCAGGGGAGACUGGAAUUCCCGGUGUAGCGGUGAAAUGCGCAGAUAUCAGGAGGAACACCCGUGGCGAAAGCGGCUCUCUGGAACGGUACUGACGCUGAGACGCGAAAGCGUGGGGAGCGAACAGG
This 253-nucleotide ribosomal RNA is filed under the name uncultured bacterium. Its description in RNAcentral is "partial 16S ribosomal RNA". It matches the Rfam family "Bacterial small subunit ribosomal RNA", at positions 524 to 776 of the family's 1533-position model. The record is from RNAcentral.